This 339-nucleotide unclassified non-coding RNA is filed under the name soil metagenome. RNAcentral's name for it is "partial contains 5.8S ribosomal RNA, internal transcribed spacer 2, and large subunit ribosomal RNA". The stretch from base 1 to 120 matches the Rfam family "5.8S ribosomal RNA", at positions 35 to 154 of the family's 154-position model. The record is from RNAcentral.
GAUGAAGAACGUAGCGAAAUGCGAUACGUAGUGUGAAUUGCAGAAUUCAGUGAAUCAUCGAAUCUUUGAACGCACAUUGCACCUCUCGGUAUUCCGGGAGGUAUGCCUGUUCGAGCGUCAUUUGUACCCUCAAGCUCUGCUUGGUGUUGGGUGUUUGUUCCGCCUCUGUGUGUGAACUCGCCUCAAAACAAUUGGCGGCCGGCGUACUUGUUUCGGAGCGCAGCACAUUUUGCGAUCCAGAUCAACGUACAGCGGCAUCCAAGAAGCCUUAUUUAACGCUCUUGACCUCGGAUCAGGUAGGGAUACCCGCUGAACUUAAGCAUAUCAAUAAGCGGAGGA